UUGGGUAAAAAAACAAAUUUACUUGCAAGCAGGCAGGACUGCCAGAAACUGGUCUGGUCAGAGUCUGUACCCUGUGUUCUUUGUCCAUCACUUUUUAUACUUUUGUCAGUCAUUAUCUCACCCCUAGUGGUCUUUGUUAUGUAAAUAAAGUUCCAAUUCCUGUUUAAUGGUUAGACACAGGUGGUUUCUGUCACUGGUUACAGUCCUGAACACUUGACAUUUAAAGCACAUACAUCACAAGUUUGUUCAAGGAUUCCCACUUUGUUCUUCAGAGCUAGGAUGUUAUCUAUAGUGGAGCUACAGAUCAAAGGAGCUAUAUAACCUUCACUUUAAACAACAAAAACAAUGGGCUAAGGGAAGCUUUUAAAAGGGUACACUACCUAUUUUGCUUCCACAACUACUUCAAUAGCAAAUCUGCUAACCUUACUUUAAAAUUUUUCCCUAUCAACAUGAAGAGUUCAUAGGAGUUUUCCAAGAGGAAAGGAGUAGAAAGACAUCUCUGCAGAGACAACACUAGGCAUAUGCUGGCUAUCAGUGGUUUGUCAUCCCUACCAUUUUUUUCUACUUGAAAGCAGAGAUUUGUCCCUACAUUUGCAUCUCCAUUACCUAGCAAAGACAUAUAGUACAUGCUCAGCUAGUGUUUGGGAGGUGAGUGAAUGAGCCAUGAAUUCAGAGAAUGUUAAUUUGACUGUUGUUUGGGGUUCUGGGUUCUAAGCAGUGCUAAAGAACUCACAUGAGAAAAAUGUAAUCAGAAAUAAUGGGUCUCUCUUAGCCACUAUUGCUAUUUAACAAACUAUACCAUGAGCUAGAAGCUUAAAGCGACAGUGAUUUACUAUUUUGUGGCAUCCUGCGAAUCAGUUGGGUAGUUCUUCUGUUAUUUGCCCCUGGAAUCACUUGUGCACCUGCCUUCAGCUGGGAAGGUGACUUGGACCCGUGUUCCCUUGGGACAGUGGGGACAGCUGAGCCCUGUUUUAUGUGGUCUUCCAUCCCCAAUGAGGAUAGAGUGAGCAUACACACAUUGUGGUACUCAUACCCUAAGAGACAAAGCUCUAGAGUGUACUAAUUAUGCUCUUCUGUUUGUAUCUCCUUUUCUGAUGUCUCAGUGGGCAAAGAUACUUGCACAGCGAAGUCUAGAAGCAACACUGAAGCGCAUAAUAUGUGGGCAGGUGUAUCUGAAGGUCUGAUUCACCAAGGCCAUUAAUGUCACUGUCCAUCACAGGGAAACUCAUAAUCAGGUUGCCAUCAAAUGCAUACAUGUGGCACGGCCAGGUAGCAAAACAGAGCAGAGCCAUCCUUCAAGGAC
RNAcentral lists this long non-coding RNA (1303 nucleotides) under Heterocephalus glaber (naked mole-rat). RNAcentral describes it as "lncRNA (ENSHGLG00000039919.1)". Lineage: Eukaryota; Metazoa; Chordata; Mammalia; Rodentia; Bathyergidae. The record is from RNAcentral.